Molecule: ribosomal RNA, 322 nt
Filed under: uncultured eukaryote
Lineage: Eukaryota
Description: partial 18S ribosomal RNA
Rfam family: Eukaryotic small subunit ribosomal RNA
Source: RNAcentral
CCCUUAGAUGUCCUGGGCCGCACGCGCGCUACACUGACAUGUUCAACAAGUUUCUCCUAGUUCGACAGGACUGGGAAAUCUUUGAACGCAUGUCGUGAUAGGGAUAGAUCAUUGCAAUUAUUGAUCUUGAACGAGGAAUUCCUAGUAAACGCGAGUCAUCAGCUCGCAUUGAUUACGUCCCUGCCCUUUGUACACACCGCCCGUCGCACCUACCGAUUGAAUGUUUCGGUGAAGAUUCCGGAUAGGACUGAUUUGAUUUAUUUCAUUUCUGACCUAAAAGCUAUCUAAACCUCAACACUUAGAGGAAGGUGAAGUCGUAACA